UACGGAGGGUGCAAGCAUUGAUCGGAAUUACUGGGCGUAAAGGGCGCGUAGGCGGCACAAUAAGUCGGAUGUGAAAUUCCGGGGCUCAACCCCGGAGCUGCAUUUGAAACUAUUGAGCUAGAGUUCAGUUAGGGUAAACGGAAUUCCACGUGUAGCGGUGAAAUGCGUAGAUAUGUGGAAGAACACCGGUGGUGAAAACGGUUUACUGGGCUGAAACUGACGCUGAGGCGCGAAAGCAUGGGGAGCAAACAGGAUUAGAAACCUUGUAGUCC
RNAcentral lists this ribosomal RNA (272 nucleotides) under uncultured prokaryote. RNAcentral's name for it is "partial 16S ribosomal RNA". It matches the Rfam family "Bacterial small subunit ribosomal RNA", at positions 524 to 796 of the family's 1533-position model. The record is from RNAcentral.